RNAcentral lists this ribosomal RNA (459 nucleotides) under uncultured bacterium. RNAcentral's name for it is "partial 16S ribosomal RNA". It matches the Rfam family "Bacterial small subunit ribosomal RNA", at positions 338 to 795 of the family's 1533-position model. The record is from RNAcentral.
CCUACGGGGGGCAGCAGUGAGGAAUAUUGGUCAAUGGUCGGGAGACUGAACCAGCCAAGCCGCGUGAGGGCGGAAGGUACAGAGUAUCGUAAACCUCUUUUGUCAGGGAACAAAGGCGGGGACGUGUCCCCGGAUUAGUGUACCUUAAGAAAAAGCAUCGGCUAACUCCGUGCCAGCAGCCGCGUUACUACGGAGGGUGCGAGCGUUAUCCGGAUUUAUUGGGUUUAAGGGGUGGGCAGGCGGUCUGUUAUGUAAGCGGUCAAAGCCCGGGGCUCAACCCCGGCCCGCCGUUGAAACUGGCAGUCUCGAGUUGGAGAGAAGUAUGCGGAAUGCGCGGUGUAGCGGUGAAAUGCAUAGAUAUCGCGCAGAACUCCGAUUGCGAAGGCAGCAUGCCGGCUCCACACUGACGCUGAGGCACGAAAGCGUGGGUAUCGAACAGGAUUAGAUACCCGGGUAGUC